AACUCGCUGUGAAGAUGCAGUGUACCCGCGGCAAGACGGAAAGACCCCGUGAACCUUUACUAUAGCUUGACACUGAACAUUGAGCCUUGAUGUGUAGGAUAGGUGGGAGGCUUUGAAGUGUGGACGCCAGUCUGCAUGGAGCCAACCUUGAAAUACCACCCUUUAAUGUUUGAUGUUCUAACGUCGUCCCGUUAUCCGGGAUGCGGACAGUGUCUGGUGGGUAGUUUGACUGGGGCGGUCUCCUCCCAAAGCGUAACGGAGGAGCACGAAGGUUGGCUAAGCAUGGUCGGACAUCAUGCGGUUAGUGCAAAGGCAUAAGCCAGCUUGACUGCGAGAGUGACAACUCGAGCAGGUACGAAAGUAGGUCUUAGUGAUCCGGUGGUUCUGAAUGGAAGGGCCAUCGCUCAACGGAUAAAAGGUACUCCGGGGAUAACAGGCUGAUACCGCCCAAGAGUUCAUAUCGACGGCGGUGUUUGGCACCUCGAUGUCGGCUCAUCACAUCCUGGGGCUGAAGUAGGUCCCAAGGGUAUGGCUGUUCGCCAUUUAAAGUGGUACGCGAGCUGGGUUUAGAACGUCGUGAGACAGUUCGGUCCCUAUCUGCCGUGGGCGUUGGAAGAUUGAAAGGGGCUGCUCCUAGUACGAGAGGACCGGAGUGGACGCACCACUGGUGUUCGGGUUGUCAUGCCAAUGGCAUUGCCCGGUAGCUAAGUGCGGAAGAGAUAACCGCUGAAAGCAUCUAAGCGGGAAACUUGCCUUGAGAUGAGUCUUCCCUGACUCUUUAAGAGUCCUAAAGGAACGUUUAAGACUAAGACGUUGAUAGGUUGGGUGUGUAAGCGUAGCGAUACGUUGAGCUAACCAAUACUAAUGAACCGU
RNAcentral lists this non-coding RNA (873 nucleotides) under Providencia sneebia DSM 19967. Its description in RNAcentral is "Bacterial large subunit ribosomal RNA". It matches the Rfam family "Bacterial large subunit ribosomal RNA", at positions 2045 to 2912 of the family's 2925-position model. The record is from Rfam by way of RNAcentral. Lineage: Bacteria; Pseudomonadati; Pseudomonadota; Gammaproteobacteria; Enterobacterales; Morganellaceae.